Molecule: ribosomal RNA, 253 nt
Filed under: uncultured bacterium
Lineage: Bacteria
Description: partial 16S ribosomal RNA
Rfam family: Bacterial small subunit ribosomal RNA
Source: RNAcentral
UACGUAGGGGGCAAGCGUUGUCCGGAUUUAUUGGGCGUAAAGAGCGUGUAGGCGGCCCGGUAAGUCCGCUGUAAAAGUCAAAGGCUCAACCUUUGAAUGUCAGUGGAUACUGUCGGGCUAGAGUCCGGAAGAGGCGAGUGGAACUCCUGGUGUAGCGGUGGAAUGCGCAGAUAUCAGGAAGAACACCAACGGCGAAGGCAGCUCGCUAGGACGGUACUGACGCUGAGACGCGAAAGCGUGGGGAGCGAACAGG